ACAAAUUAUUAUUUCUUUACAAAACAAAUUAUUAUUUCUUUACAAAACAAAUUAUUAUUUCUUUACAAAACAAAUUAUUAUUUCUUUACAAAACAAAUUAUUAUUUCUUUACAAAACAAAUUAUUAUUGGCACAGCCACACGCACAGCCACAGGCACAGCCACAGGCACAGCCACAGGCACAGCCACAGGCACAGCCACAGGCACAGCCACAGGCACAGCCACAGGCACAGCCACAGGCACAGCCACAGGCACAGCCACAGGCACAGCCACAGGCACAGCCACAGGCACAGCCA
Molecule: long non-coding RNA, 294 nt
Organism: Helicoverpa armigera (cotton bollworm)
Lineage: Eukaryota; Metazoa; Arthropoda; Insecta; Lepidoptera; Noctuidae
Exons: 2
Source: RefSeq, a predicted model, not a curated record